RNAcentral lists this ribosomal RNA (253 nucleotides) under uncultured prokaryote. Its description in RNAcentral is "partial 16S ribosomal RNA". It matches the Rfam family "Bacterial small subunit ribosomal RNA", at positions 524 to 776 of the family's 1533-position model. The record is from RNAcentral.
UACGGAGGGGGCGAGCGUUGUCCGAAGUUACUGGGCGUAAAGCGCGCGUAGGCGGGUGGGUAAGUCCGCUGUGAAAGCCCGGAGCUCAACUCCGGAGGGUCGGUGGAUACUGCCCAUCUUGAAGGUGCUAGGGGGAGAUGGAAUUACCGGUGUAACGGUGAAAUGCGUAGAGAUCGGUAGGAACACCAGUGGCGAAGGCGGUCUCCUGGAGCAUACUUGACGCUGAGGCGCGAAAGCUGGGGGAGCGAACGGG